Molecule: long non-coding RNA, 704 nt
Organism: Mangifera indica (mango)
Lineage: Eukaryota; Viridiplantae; Streptophyta; Magnoliopsida; Sapindales; Anacardiaceae
Exons: 5
Source: RefSeq, a predicted model, not a curated record
CAAAAAUGAAAAGAUUUUCGCUAAAAGCCAAAAAGUGGUCAACAGUCAAACCUCAUGACCUGGCCGUUUGAUGAAUGCGAAAAAAUUAAACGCUGCUUUUAGAGUGGACUGAUGAGAAAAAUUCGAACCGAAGAUUUCUCCAUCUUCUGGCGCUCUCUUCUUUCAGAUUACGCCAAACUAACUAACAACAAUUUCAUGGGAGAUUUAGGCUGGACAUUGAUGUGCAUUUAAACGGCAGGGUGAACAAGUGGAGAAAUAGCAGGAUUUAGCCGAAGAUGCUAUGUAGUGAAAAGGAUCAGUCAACUAGAAUUGUCAGUUAGUAAUCUGAUAUGGACUCAGUAGACAAGUCAGCACAAAUACGCUGGCAAUGAAUGUCAGUUGCCAAUCCCAACAGGGUUUUGGGGGCUUUCGAAGAUAUAUGGUGGGCCUAUGGAAAAUACAUAAAGGAGAGAUGAGUUAGCACCCUCUUCAAUUGUGGAAUGGCAGGAGUUGAAUGUUUGUUUCUCUGGUGGCUGAGGACAGGAUCACAGGGAGAACUGCAGAUUCUUCUGAAUAUUGUUCACAUAUGCAGCUGGCCUAUCUAUUUAUACAAACGUGUACACAUAUAUAUAUAUCUAAAAUUAUAACAAACCAACAAUGAUGUGCUAGCUGGCAGUACUAAAAUGGGAUUGGGUUAUGCAUGUGAUUUUAUCACGUGUUGUUGA